This is a long non-coding RNA of Setaria italica (foxtail millet), 1055 nucleotides long. RefSeq lists it as uncharacterized. NCBI's taxonomy places the organism in Eukaryota, Viridiplantae, Streptophyta, Magnoliopsida, Poales, Poaceae. The record is from RefSeq and is a predicted model, not a curated record. The transcript has 2 exons.
AGGGAGGGGGGAGCAGAUAAGGAGGCGCACAGGGGUGGGUGCUGGGACUGAGGGUUAGUACCAGGUGGAGCUUCCACCCGGUACGGCCCUCAGGCACAUUAGUACCGGGUGGAGACUCCACCCAGUACUAAUGGGUGAUCUUUAUUACCGGUCGGAGCUCCCAACCGGUACUAAAGGAGGUCACGAGGGACUUCUGGGAAACUAGCCGUUAGACCCGAUACUAAUGCUCACAUUAGUAUCGGGUCAAAAACCAACCGGUACUAAAGGCUAGGACCAAUGCUCGGAUUUCUAGUAAUGCGAGGAUAAACAACAUGAAGUAGGAGUUCAACCGGACGUUCGCUCACCGGAACGAGAGGUGGACUAAAUGGAGCACACAGCUAAAAUCUGGACUAAAAUCUUUUGCUCGCGAGGAGGUCUAAAACGUGUUGGGGCGAGUGCUGGACGCACGAUACCCCCCGCGCACCCUAUCCAUUCCCGCACCCUGCCCCUGGCGCGUCACGCACCCGCAACGCCGCCGCCGCCCCGCUCGCCCGAUCUCCUCCGUCUCCAGCACCAGGGACUUCUUCGGCAGCUGCUCGGGGACGCCGCGGGGAGGCUAGUCGGCCGGCGACGCCGGCUCGGAUCCGGACAGCGCGCCGAACUGGAGGUGCGAGGGCUGGCCGCGCGGAGCCUGCGCCGGAGGGUCGAAGGGCAGCGCGAGCCCCGGCGGCUCCGGCUGCAGGCGUGCGCCUCGGCGAGCGCGUAGCGGUCCACGCACGGCCGCGGUGAGCAGCACCGCGCGGCCGCGGCACAGCGCGACGGCCUCCUGGUCGUCGAGCUUGGCAGUGUAUACCGUCCACUAUACUUGCCCCCCAUUAAUGGCAAAUCAGUCAUUGUUCCUGUGGGAUCUCUAGCUAUAGCUGCCUUUGCAUUUGGGACUGCCUCCAGUUGGCCAAGAAAACUGUGGAAUUUGUCAUCUGUUUAAUCCCUAUUUGUGUCUGCAAUUCGUUGAUCUGUUCUGUACUUUUCAUUACUUUUAAUCGGUUGAAUGAGGGGCAAAUCAUAUGCUGCUGUUA